Molecule: long non-coding RNA, 3636 nt
Organism: Zonotrichia albicollis (white-throated sparrow)
Lineage: Eukaryota; Metazoa; Chordata; Aves; Passeriformes; Passerellidae
Source: Ensembl
GGCAGUUCCACCCCUAGAACUGCCUGGCUGCUGCAUUUCUGGCUGCUGCUCUUUUUGAGAGGAACAGAAGUUCCUGGGCAGGACCUGGCAGGCUCUGUGUGGGUGCCCAGUCAGAAUCCAGUGCAGAAAAUGAUCCAAGCCAGCAUAAAAUUGUCAUGAGAGGAUGAAAACAAAAUAAUCCUCACCAGGGCAGGGGAUGAGUUGUGGAGACAACCAGAAACAAAUCCAGGAACUCAGGGAAGAAAGAUCUGUGAAAGGAAUGUAAAACCUCUCCUCUCCUUAGCAAGGCUUUAAUUGCUGGAAUCUUCUGGAGUUUGGGUUUUGUCUCCUCCAUCAGCUGGAGCUCAAUCACAGUGAGUUCUGAGGGCAGCCCCAGGAACAGCCCAGAUGUGCUGAUGAAAGGAAUUUGCUGCUCCCUGGGGCAGCUCUGGGGAAGGGGAAACUCCUCAGGGCUUUGGGAGCUGGAGGGAGCUCAGCUGCACCCAGCACAGCCAGGCAGCUCAGGAGCUGCUCACAGAAGGCAUUGAAUAAAUCUCCCUUAAAAUCUGUGUGCAGCCCCAUUGCCCUUUCCUUUUCCACCUUUCUUAUUUGUUCUUUUUUUAUUUUUCUUGUUCGUUCUUAAUUUUUCCUUAUUUUUUGUUAUUUCUUCCCUUGUUGCCAGGCUCCCCCUCGUUGCAGGCUGAUGGAUUGGCCACGCCACCCCCCCCUCCCCCCAAAAGCAAACCCUACGAGAGCAGCACCCCCAGGAACUCUGUGGAGGUUGCUCCAGCGCUGCCCAGCAGGCGAGAGGCCAAACCUCCCCCUCCACCCCCCAAAACCAGGAAAUCCAGCGUGGUGUCCUCGGAGCAGGGGCUGCCCUGAGCCUGGGGGGUGCCAGCAGUGCCAGCCUGCAGUGGUGCUUCAUCUCCUGCCAGCCUGGCAUCUCCCUGCCCUGGCAUCUCCCCUGCCCUCCUUCCACCCUGCCCUGGAGCUUUCCUGGCAAAUCCCACAGAGGAAACGUGGCUGGGGCUGGGCUCCCUCGCUGUGUUUGCCUGUGCACUGCUCACACUGAUCCUGAGCUGUCCCUCACACACUGAUCCUGCCCUGUCCCUCACACACUGAUCCUGAGCUCUCCCUGACACACUGAUCCUGCCCUGUCCCUCACACACUGAUCCUGCCCUGUCCCUCACACACUGAUCCUGAGCUCUCCCUCACACACUGAUCCUGAGCUCUCCCUCACACACUGAUCCUGCCCUGUCCCUCACACACUGAUCCUGAGCUCUCCCUGCUGCAGUUCCUCUCCCUCCUGGGCCUGUCUGUCCUGGGUUGGUCACUGCUGCAAUGCCAGCAGCUCCUCCCAGUGCCCUGGGAAUCCUGGCUGAUCCCACUGCAGGGCUCAGGGUCUGUGCCCAGCUCUGCUUGCUUUGGUACAAGAUCUCAUUUGUGCUUUUAAUGGGGUGGGAAAAGCAUCCUGUGAAUGUUGGAGAUGACAGAAGCUGCACUUUGGCCAGGGCUGGACUGGCACCACUGCACUGAUGGCAGAGCUUCACUGGCACCACUGCACUGACACCAGGACUUUACUGGUUCCACAAACAGAUCAUGGCCUCUUUAUUUAUCAUCAAUAUUGAUGAAGAUUUUGCUUUCUCUUCCAGGAAAUAAUUUUGUUUGUUCAUUCUGUCACUUUGCUUCUGAUUAUCUUGUAGGAGUUGGGAGGAGCCACUGAAACCCUGCUGAGGGUGUUGCUCACAGCAGGAAUACAAUUAUUGUUGGGCUGGGGGUUCAUGGGCCAUUAUUGUGCUCCCCUGACUGAAAGAAGUUUCUGACCUUACUGAAAAACCAAAGUUUGUUAAACCUAAUGAAAAGUUUCCUCAGCAAAGUCUUUUUCAGGGAAAAGCAAACCCAACAAAACCCAACCCAACAAAAGCCACCCCCAGGAGGGUUUUGCUCAGACUGAAGUUGUCAUUUCCUUUUGUCCUUCCCAAUUCUUUUGACAUGAGUGUGAGUGCAGGGGCUGGAAGCAGAUUGCCCUCAUCCCAGAUCAUCCCAGAGUGCCAUCAGCUCCAGCCUGAGCUGCUCUGGAGGUGGCACUGCAGUCACAUCCCAUCCAUCCCCAGCCUGAUUGCUGCUGCACAUUCCAGCUGCCUCCGGGCUGCUGCUCCUCGGGGGAGCUCUUGGAACCUCCCUGGGGCACUGUGUGCCCUGUCAGCUCCUCCUCGUGUUCCUGACACAGACACUGCUCAACUGCAAAACCUCUGGGCUUUCCUGCCCUUCAUUUCCUGUGCAUUCUCCCUCCCUGGAUGCUCUGAAAGUUCCCCUAAAGCAGCUUUUUGUGUGGGCUGAGGUUCUGCUGCAGGCAGAGCAGCAGGAUGUGCUCUGGGCUGUCUGAGGUGCAUCCUGGUGUUCAUUCUGUGCCUUUCUCCUCUCAGCCAGGUUGGGUUUAACGCAGUGGGUCAGCAGGAGCAGGGCAGGCUGAGCAGGGAUCCCAGGAUGGUUUCCCUGGUGUGGGCAAACAGGCUGAGCUGUCAGGUUUGGGUGUUUUGGUUCUCAGUGACUUUGGAGUCCUCUUUGCAGCCUUUUUGUUCUGCUUUAACCACCUUCACAUAUGGAGGUACCUUUUGCAUCCAGGUUUUUUCCUGGAGAAGGAAACCUCCAUGCAGAAAACACUCACAGGAGGAGGUCUGACCUUGGGAAGAAUUUUUCAGCUGAUUUUUAAUCAGCUGUUUGCUCUCAGAUUCGGCUCUGGCUGCAUUUUCUGCAGCUACAGAUCAGGAUUUUGAGCAGAAUCUUUGGCAUGUUGGUGGUGAAUUAUCCCUCCCUCUCUGCAGCUGCCACCUUCAGCUCUGCCCUGCCUUGACACUGCUCCUCUCACCUUAAACCUCACCUGGCUUUGCUGCUCACAAGUUCAGGUUCUCCCGUGCCCCCUGUGCGUGCCCAGUUUGGGGUGGGCACCCCUGGCUGCGAGGAGAGGAGCAGCUCACACCAAAGAGCUCAGAACAAACUUUCCCUUCCCAGCACAUUUUGGGCAUUUCACUGGCAAAUUUGCCACAAAGGACUCUAAAUUUGGUUCUGUUUUUUUCCUUUCUCAGCAUUAUUUAUGUUUUAGAGUUUUAAACUUGUCCCACUCCUGCUCCUUUUGGCAGUGUCCCCAGUGUGGUGUCCAGUUCUCUUACCUGGCUGGUAAAAGUUGGCAUCACUGGGCUCAGAGGUGCAAGAUGGAAUUUCUGUUCUGUGCCCAAAUGAUUCAGGGCUUUGGGCCAGUUUUGGGGGAAAAAAACAUCCAAGAGUCAGAUUUUUAAAGGCAUUUGGGCAUUAAGUGCGUGAGGAAGAACAGGGCAUGAAAGUGAUUUUAAAUGAGUGGAGUUAAGUGCCCACUCUAAGGACAAAUCCCACUGGAACCUUCAUUGUGUGAAGUGUUUGCUCCUUGCUUGGGUGAGGUUUCAUUUUCAGAGGCACUUCAAGGUGUCUCUACCUUGUUUCUUUAAAUGAGAAUCAUCUCUUCAGGUUCAUUGGGUGCUUUAGGAAAUGCCUCCAAUGUGUUUUCAGCUGUUGGGUUUCAAAUGGGAAGAGGACAUUCCACAAUGAUGAUCUCUGCACACCACAAAUUGCAGCAAUUUCUGCCCAAUUCCUGCUUUUGAAUAAAAUCUCAAAGUUAAAACA